GACGAACGCUGGCGGCGUGCUUAACACAUGCAAGUCGAGCGGUAAGGCCCUUUCGGGGGUACACGAGCGGCGAACGGGUGAGUAACACGUGGGUGACCUGCCCUCAGCUCUGGGAGUAAGCCUGGGAAACUGGGUCUAAUACUGGAUAUGACUCCAUGACGCAUGUUGUGGGGUGGAAAGCCUUGUGCGGCUGAGGAUGGGCCCGCGGCCUAUCAGCUUGUUGGNGGGGUGAUGGCCUACCAAGGCGACGACGGGUAGCCGGCCUGAGAGGGCGACCGGCCACACUGGGACUGAGACACGGCCCAGACUCCUACGGGAGGCAGCAGUGGGGAAUCUUGGACAAUGGGCGCAAGCCUGAUCCAGCCAUGCCGCGUGAGUGAAGAAGGCCUUAGGGUUGUAAAGCUCUUUUACCAGGGACGAUAAUGACGGUACCUGGAGAAUAACG
This 445-nucleotide ribosomal RNA is filed under the name uncultured bacterium. Its description in RNAcentral is "bacterial SSU rRNA". It matches the Rfam family "Bacterial small subunit ribosomal RNA", at positions 28 to 491 of the family's 1533-position model. The record is from RNAcentral.